CUUUAGUUCUAUUUCGAAUUUGAAUUCUGUACUUCUGUACUUAGUGUAAAUCCAUUGUUUUCUUUUGCAUUGUUAGUGUAUAGAGAAAAUGAGUUAUUUGGGUGUAGGUGUUAGUCUUGGAACAGUUCCAGUGUAUCAUAGCACAAACCUGAAAUUGUUGGAUAAGAGGAUCAAGAUAGCUGAUUUGGUGUUAAGGUUUAUGAUUCUUGGUAUUGGAGUUGUUGCAGCUGUUCUUAUUGGAACUGAUUCACAAGUGAAGGUGUUUUUCUCCUUUGAGAAGGAAGCUAAAUUCUCUGAUGUUAAGGCUUUGGUGUAAGUAUCUAUUAAUCUAUGUUCUAUGUUACUUUCUAGCAAUAAAAGUGUUGCAUGUUUUGUUGUCCUAAUUCAUUAGUUUUUGAUGGAUUAAAAAACUUUGCAGAUUCUUGGUAGUUGCUAAUGGUUUGGCUGCUGGAUACUCUUUGAUUCAAGGACUCUGUUGUGUUGUGAGUUUGGUUAGGGGAAGUGUUCUCUUCAACAGGCCCUUAGCUUGGGCCAUUUUCUCUGCUGAUCAGGUACCCUUUUAUAUUUGAAAGAUCACAUCCUACUUUUUUUUUUUGUUGUCUUAUACAUUGUGGUCAAAACACAAGAUUAUCAAGAUUCUUGCAUCAACAUCUUGCUUUUUCCUCAAGCAUUUUGUUGCCAUGUUGAUUAAUAUCACUUAUUUUUUUUAUAAAUUCAUGCAAAGACAUAAUAAAAAAGUAAUUUGUCAUUAUGUCCAUGGUGAUAUAACAUGAGUGACUAUAUAUUUUUUUAUUUUAUAAUUUUUAGUUUUCUAGGUUCCACAAGUUUAGGUAAAUUUUCAAGUUUGAUAGGCUUAAUUUAAAAAAAAGAGUUUUAUUUGUUUGUUCUCACACCAACUUGGUUCUAUGAAAUGAGGUGAUGAACCCAUGUGAAAUUAACUAGGCAAAAUUGUCACACCAACUUAAUUCAUUAGUAUUGCUUGUGCUGUUCUAUCAUUAGGUUUUAAGGUUUAACGGGUUUCAUUGAUAUUUAAUUUGAUUGUAUGGUAAUUAGCUAAUUUUAGGUACUUAAUUACUUUGGUUAGAUAAAGAUAACUCUUUAUUUACUUCACUUCCUAAUUGAUUAAUUUUUCUUAGGAGAUUAAAGAAACAUACCUUUGUUGUACACAGAUGCAUACUUCUUUUAGCUUUGUGUAUAUUUGUUUUCUUUUGCAUUGUUAGUGUCUAGAGAAAAUGAGUUAUUUGGGUGUAGGUGUUAGUCCUGGAACAGUUCCAGUGUACCAUAGCACAAACCUGAAAUUGUUGGAUAAGAGGAUCAAGAUAGCUGAUUUGGUGUUAAGGUUUAUGAUUCUUGGUCUUGGAGUUGUUGCAGCUGUUCUUAUUGGAACUGAUUCACAAGUGAAGGUGUUUUUCUCUUUUGAGAAGGAAGCUAAAUUCA
RNAcentral lists this long non-coding RNA (1437 nucleotides) under Arachis ipaensis. Its description in RNAcentral is "long non-coding RNA (AIPA_LNC001046)". Lineage: Eukaryota; Viridiplantae; Streptophyta; Magnoliopsida; Fabales; Fabaceae. The record is from RNAcentral.